RNAcentral lists this unclassified non-coding RNA (218 nucleotides) under Hevea brasiliensis (rubber tree). Lineage: Eukaryota; Viridiplantae; Streptophyta; Magnoliopsida; Malpighiales; Euphorbiaceae. The record is from RNAcentral.
AGGACCUCCAUAUCCCAUGGGAACACCAAACCUCUGAGAAGAUCCAACAACAAUAUCUGCCCCCAAUUCACCAGGAGGCUUCAACAUUGUUAGUGCCAAUAAAUCCGUUGACAUAACAACACCUUAACCCCAUUAGCAUGAGCGUUCUUAAUAAACUUCUCAUAAUCCAAAAUUUCACCCUCAGUCCCGGGAUACUGAACCAAAACCCCACAAACAUC